AUUGCACGCUGGCGGCAGGCCUAACACAUGCAAGUCGAACGAGUGGCGGAAGGGUGAGUAAUGUCUGGGAAACUGCCUGAUGGAGGUGGAUAACUACUGGAAACGGUAGCUAAUACCGAAUACAAUCAGAUGUGCCCAGAUGGGAUUAGCUCGUGGGUGGGGUAACGGCUCACCAAGGCGACGAUCCCUAGCUGGUCUGAGAGGAUGACCAGCCACACUGGAACUGAGACACGGUCCAGACUCCUACGGCAGGCAGCAGUGGGGAAUAUUGCACAGUGGGCGCAUGCCUGAGGCAGCCAUGCCGCGGGUAUGAAGACGGCCGUCGGGUUGUAAAGUACUUUCAGCGGGGAGGCGUUACACGCAGAAGAAGCACCGGCUAACUCCGUGCCAGCAGCCGCGGUAAUAC
RNAcentral lists this ribosomal RNA (406 nucleotides) under uncultured bacterium. RNAcentral's name for it is "partial 16S ribosomal RNA". It matches the Rfam family "Bacterial small subunit ribosomal RNA", at positions 30 to 526 of the family's 1533-position model. The record is from RNAcentral.